RNAcentral lists this ribosomal RNA (296 nucleotides) under uncultured Pseudomonas sp. Its description in RNAcentral is "partial 16S ribosomal RNA". It matches the Rfam family "Bacterial small subunit ribosomal RNA", at positions 1086 to 1382 of the family's 1533-position model. The record is from RNAcentral. Lineage: Bacteria; Pseudomonadati; Pseudomonadota; Gammaproteobacteria; Pseudomonadales; Pseudomonadaceae.
CCCGUAACGAGCGCAACCUUGUCCUUAGUUACCAGCACGUUAUGGUGGGCACUCUAAGGAGACUGCCGGUGACAAACCGGAGGAAGGUGGGGAUGACGUCAAGUCAUCAUGGCCCUUACGGCCUGGGCUACACACGUGCUACAAUGGUCGGUACAAAGGGUUGCCAAGCCGCGAGGUGGAGCUAAUCCCAUAAAACCGAUCGUAGUCCGGAUCGCAGUCUGCAACUCGACUGCGUGAAGUCGGAAUCGCUAGUAAUCGUGAAUCAGAAUGUCACGGUGAAUACGUUCCCGGGCCUU